CAGAAGUGCGAAUGCUGACAUAAGUAACGAUAAAGCGGGUGAAAAGCCCGCUCGCCGGAAGACCAAGGGUUCCUGUCCAACGUUAAUCGGGGCAGGGUGAGUCGACCCCUAAGGCGAGGCCGAAAGGCGUAGUCGAUGGGAAACAGGUUAAUAUUCCUGUACUUGGUGUUACUGCGAAGGGGGGACGGAGAAGGCUAUGUUGGCCGGGCGACGGUUGUCCCGGUUUAAGCGUGUAGGCUGGUUUUCCAGGCAAAUCCGGAAAAUCAAGGCUGAGGCGUGAUGACGAGGCACUACGGUGCUGAAGCAACAAAUGCCCUGCUUCCAGGAAAAGCCUCUAAGCAUCAGGUAACAUCAAAUCGUACCCCAAACCGACACAGGUGGUCAGGUAGAGAAUACCAAGGCGCUUGAGAGAACUCGGGUGAAGGAACUAGGCAAAAUGGUGCCGUAACUUCGGGAGAAGGCACGCUGAUAUGUAGGUGAAGUCCCUCGCGGAUGGAGCUGAAAUCAGUCGAAGAUACCAGCUGGCUGCAACUGUUUAUUAAAAACACAGCACUGUGCAAACACGAAAGUGGACGUAUACGGUGUGACGCCUGCCCGGUGCCGGAAGGUUAAUUGAUGGGGUCAGCGCAAGCGAAGCUCUUGAUCGAAGCCCCGGUAAACGGCGGCCGUAACUAUAACGGUCCUAAGGUAGCGAAAUUCCUUGUCGGGUAAGUUCCGACCUGCACGAAUGGCGUAAUGAUGGCCAGGCUGUCUCCACCCGAGACUCAGUGAAAUUGAACUCGCUGUGAAGAUGCAGUGUACCCGCGGCAAGACGGAAAGACCCCGUGAACCUUUACUAUAGCUUGACACUGAACAUUGAGCCUUGAUGUGUAGGAUAGGUGGGAGGCUUAGAAGUGUGGACGCCAGUCUGCAUGGAGCCGACCUUGAAAUACCACCCUUUAAUGUUUGAUGUUCUAACGUUGACCCGUAAUCCGGGUUGCGGACAGUGUCUGGUGGGUAGUUUGACUGGGGCGGUCUCCUCCUAAAGAGUAACGGAGGAGCACGAAGGUUGGCUAAUCCUGGUCGGACAUCAGGAGGUUAGUGCAAUGGCAUAAGCCAGCUUGACUGCGAGCGUGACGGCGCGAGCAGGUGCGAAAGCAGGUCAUAGUGAUCCGGUGGUUCUGAAUGGAAGGGCCAUCGCUCAACGGAUAAAAGGUACUCCGGGGAUAACAGGCUGAUACCGCCCAAGAGUUCAUAUCGACGGCGGUGUUUGGCACCUCGAUGUCGGCUCAUCACAUCCUGGGGCUGAAGUAGGUCCCAAGGGUAUGGCUGUUCGCCAUUUAAAGUGGUACGCGAGCUGGGUUUAGAACGUCGUGAGACAGUUCGGUCCCUAUCUGCCGUGGGCGCUGGAGAACUGAGGGGGGCUGCUCCUAGUACGAGAGGACCGGAGUGGACGCAUCACUGGUGUUCGGGUUGUCAUGCCAAUGGCACUGCCCGGUAGCUAAAUGCGGAAGAGAUAAGUGCUGAAAGCAUCUAAGCACGAAACUUGCCCCGAGAUGAGUUCUCCCUGACCCUUUAAGGGUCCUGAAGGAACGUUGAAGACGACGACGUUGAUAGGCCGGGUGUGUAAGCGCAGCGAUGCGUUGAGCUAACCGGUACUAAUGAACCGUGAGG
RNAcentral lists this ribosomal RNA (1653 nucleotides) under Escherichia coli. Its description in RNAcentral is "partial 23S ribosomal RNA". It matches the Rfam family "Bacterial large subunit ribosomal RNA", at positions 1283 to 2915 of the family's 2925-position model. Lineage: Bacteria; Pseudomonadati; Pseudomonadota; Gammaproteobacteria; Enterobacterales; Enterobacteriaceae. The record is from RNAcentral.